CAGUCGCCACGGGAAUACAGAGGGUGCGAGCGUUAAUCGGAUUUACUGGGCGUAAAGCGUGCGUAGGCGGCUUCUUAAGUCGGAUGUGAAAUCCCUGAGCUUAACUUAGGAAUUGCAUUCGAUACUGGCAAGCUAGAGUCUUGUAGAGGGGGGUAGAAUUCCAGGUGUAGCGGUGAAAUGCGUAGAGAUCUGGAGGAAUACCGGUGGCGAAGGCGGCCCCCUGGACAAAGACUGACGCUCAGGUGCGAAAGCGUGGGGAGCAAACAGGAUUAGAUACCCGUGUAGUCCCUGUCUCUUAUAC
Molecule: ribosomal RNA, 301 nt
Filed under: uncultured bacterium
Lineage: Bacteria
Description: partial 16S ribosomal RNA
Rfam family: Bacterial small subunit ribosomal RNA
Source: RNAcentral